AUGACAGUUUGGUGCCGUGACUCGGAUGAAGGUGAUUCGAUCAGGAAAACAGCUAUUCGAACCGCAGAGAGAGGAUGGACUCAUGCCAGCCGUGUUAAAGGACCCAUCGGUGACGAGAAGUGGGAGGUAGCCCCCGGGAGUGACGACCUGAAACUUACACUGCGACAAGCCCAAUGGGUAUUCCAGAAGGAAAGGUCCAAACGUCCCAAACAGAGGAAGUGCCAACACGGAGCUAACCAGGCAAAUUCUAGAGUUUGGGACUUGUGCACGUCUUCACAGCACGCGAGGAUGCACUCCUCAGUGCCCAGUCAGACGGAUGACACCUAUGAAGCCAUCCAAUGUUUUUACAGAACUGUUCAAGACUCCAACAGAUGCUUGGACAGGCUCAUGUUGCAAAUGCCUGAGGGCAGCAAUGAGGGCAGCAAUGAGGGCAGCAACGAGGGCACCAUCACCUGUUGUGGGGAUAUGAAGACACCUUGCCCACAACCAAAGUCCCAGGAGCGGGACCUGCCCUUGGUGGAUGAGGCUAUGAGAAGUCUCCUGGAGCAUCCUGACAUGAAAAUGCAGGCACCAGAGCACCUGCAGAAGAGCCUCUCAGAGCCUAAUCUGGGGCACAAAGACUCCCAGCUUCCACAUCCACUGAGGCAAACAAGGAGGUCCGCUCGCUUGCCCUUCCAGCGCAGGCACAUGCAGGCUCAGGCAUGGAGGUCAUCAGCAGAGGCCUUUGGCCAACGGCAAAAAUCUGCCUCCCUGAUGGACACACGCAAACAAGAAACAAUGCGUACAGUCCAUGCUGACUGCUACAGACUGUGUGAACAGCCUGACAACCAGGAGAACAGGUUGAUGUAUCAAUAUCUGGAGCAGUAUGCAUACGUUGAGAGGAAGAAGCGGGACUUUUUCACACCACACCGCGUCCUGCCUAGCAAUGAAGGAUCCAAGGGUGUGUCUCCAUCUGACCCUGUAGCCCAGCUUGAUGCAGGAAGAGCAAAAGUAGGAGAGAGAAAUCCACCUGCGGACAGGGCCAGUAAGCAGCAGGGCCAGAAAAAUACCACUGCUGCUCAAGAGCCAAAGGGGCUCCCUGGACAUACCCUUGCGGGAAGUAGAUCUUCAGUUGCGUCAAGCAGGAUUGUGCCAAAGGAUGAGCCAUUCAGGCCCCAGUCAGCAAAGCCAGAGGCGAGGCCCAAGCACGUGGCAGAACAACACAGGACACAAAGGUCAGAGACUCUAUCUCAGCUGUGUACAGGCUGCUGUGUGCCACGCUUUCUGUGCCGCUGCAUUCAGCGUGCCUGGGCCAAGCUCAAAGCAGCCAGCAAGGCCCUCUGUUCCAAGAUCAGAAAGGGAAGCGAGAAGCUCUCCAGGAAGGGAAAUAAGCCCUUCACAAACAACAGAUCCUCAGAGCCAACAAGGCUGGACGCGAGUCAUCAUGGGAGCAGACAAUCACUGACACCUCUGGCCAAAAUGAAAACCGCAAGUCCAUUUCUGGAGGGAACAAAGAAGGACUUGGUGGCAUCCGAAGACAAGUCUUUCAGUGCUGACAGUGACGUCACAGCUGCCAGUAAGCUCACAGCUGCCAGCAAGGUCACAGGCGCCAGCAAGGGAUCAAGCCAUGGUGGCAGCAGCCACAGGCACUCGGGCAUGCAGUCGCCAGAGAGAUUUGGAGGCUCUGCGGGAGGGAGACCAGAAUGUUCUCCCUCCUCUUCACAGUGCAGAUCAUCAGCCAGAGGGGCUCCUGUGCAUUGAUGUCCCUAAGGACAUCAACCGAUGUCACUGCAGGAGGAAGCUCACAGAAUAAUGCAAAGUCCUACAAACUACGUAUCCCAGUGGACUUUGCAUUAUUCUGCAUGUAUGUAUAUGUAGUGCUAUUGCUCCGGUCAAUAGUGUUAUUGUCCGGAGCAAUAGCACUACACCCAGGAUGCUUUCCUGCAGAGAAAGCACUCCUCCACCAAGCAGAGAGCCUCAUGUCUGCCAGAGCCUCCAGUUCUCUCUGGGACCAGUAUUCCAAUCUCCCUCCUUUAGG
This is a long non-coding RNA of Coturnix japonica (Japanese quail), 2017 nucleotides long. Ensembl lists it as uncharacterized. NCBI's taxonomy places the organism in Eukaryota, Metazoa, Chordata, Aves, Galliformes, Phasianidae. The record is from Ensembl.